UGCCCAGCAGCUCCUAUCCCUACCUCCUCGCGGUACUGGCCGGGGUACGAGUAACCUUAGGGAAGAUCGGGUAACCAACCCCCGGUGGGAACUUUGGUCGUAUGCUGACAGGGAAGG
This 117-nucleotide ribozyme is filed under the name Aedes aegypti (yellow fever mosquito). Its description in RNAcentral is "drz-agam-1 ribozyme". It matches the Rfam family "drz-agam-1 ribozyme". Lineage: Eukaryota; Metazoa; Arthropoda; Insecta; Diptera; Culicidae. The record is from Rfam by way of RNAcentral.